RNAcentral lists this ribosomal RNA (170 nucleotides) under uncultured bacterium. RNAcentral describes it as "partial 16S ribosomal RNA". It matches the Rfam family "Bacterial small subunit ribosomal RNA", at positions 340 to 524 of the family's 1533-position model. The record is from RNAcentral.
UACGGGAGGCAGCAGGGGGGAAUCUUGCACAAUGGAGGAAACAUCUGAUGCAGCGAUGCCGCGUGAGAUGAAGAAGGCCCUUGGGUUGUAAAGCUCUUUCGUCGGGGAAGAAAAAUGACUGUACCCGAAUAAGAAGGUCCGGCUAAAUUCGUGCCAGCAGCCGCGGUAAU